This 371-nucleotide ribosomal RNA is filed under the name uncultured organism. RNAcentral's name for it is "bacterial SSU rRNA". It matches the Rfam family "Bacterial small subunit ribosomal RNA", at positions 526 to 896 of the family's 1533-position model. The record is from RNAcentral.
CGAACUGUGCAAACGUUAUUCGGAAUCACUGGGCUUAAAGGGUGCGUAGGCGGCUUGUUAAGUAGGGUGUGAAAUCCCCCGGCUCAACCGGGGAAUUGCGCCCUAAACUGGCGAGCUGGAGUGAGAUAGGGGUGUGUGGAACUUCCAGUGGAGCGGUGAAAUGUGUUGAUAUUGGAAGGAACGCCAGUGGCGAAAGCGACACACUGGGUCUCAACUGACGCUGAGGCACGAAAGCCAGGGGAGGAAACGGGAUUAGAUACCCCGGUAGUCCUGGCCGUAAACGAUGAGCACUAGCUGGGGGGCGGUUCGUCCGUUCCCCAACGUAGCAAAAGUGUGAAGUGCUCCGCCUGGGGAGUAUGGUCGCAAGGCUG